CGUUUGGGUCUUACGCAACAGGAAUUUACGAACCGGGUCAGGUCAGGAAUGGAGCAGCCCUAAGUAAAAGCUCUUGUGUGCCGUGAGGGUGCCUGGACCGAGU
RNAcentral lists this signal recognition particle RNA (103 nucleotides) under Roseburia inulinivorans DSM 16841. RNAcentral's name for it is "Bacterial signal recognition particle RNA". It matches the Rfam family "Bacterial small signal recognition particle RNA". Rfam says of the family: The signal recognition particle (SRP) is a universally conserved ribonucleoprotein involved in the co-translational targeting of proteins to membranes. Archaeal SRP consists of a 7S RNA and homologues of the eukaryotic SRP19 and SRP54 proteins. Lineage: Bacteria; Bacillati; Bacillota; Clostridia; Lachnospirales; Lachnospiraceae. The record is from RNAcentral.